ACUAACGCUGGCGGCGUGCCUAACACAUGCAAGUCGAACGAGAAGCCCGCAAGGGUUGUAAAGUGGCGGACGGGUGCAUAACACGUGGGUAAUCUACCCUUUGGUCUGAGAUAACCUGCCGAAAGGCGGGCUAAUACCGGAUAAGACCACGGCUCUGAGGAGCUGUGGGAAAAGGCCCGCAAGGGUCGCCGAUCGAUGAGCCCGCGGCCUAUCAGGUAGUUGGUGAGGUAAUGGCUCACCAAGCCUACGACGGGUAGCUGGUCUGAGAGGACGACCAGCCACACUGGAACUGAGACACGGUCCAGACUCCUACGGGAGGCAGCAGUGGGGAAUAUUGCGCAAUGGGCGAAAGCCUGACGCAGCAACGCCGCGUGGGUGAUGAAGGCCUUCGGGUUGUAAAGCCCUGUCGCCCGGGACGAAUAAGCUCGUGAAGAACGAGCCCUGACGGUACCGGGAGAGGAAGCACCGGCUAACUCUGU
This 479-nucleotide ribosomal RNA is filed under the name uncultured bacterium. Its description in RNAcentral is "bacterial SSU rRNA". It matches the Rfam family "Bacterial small subunit ribosomal RNA", at positions 29 to 506 of the family's 1533-position model. The record is from RNAcentral.